This 31-nucleotide unclassified non-coding RNA is filed under the name Pseudolactococcus piscium. RNAcentral describes it as "Lactococcus piscium ctRNA_pT181". The record is from RNAcentral. Lineage: Bacteria; Bacillati; Bacillota; Bacilli; Lactobacillales; Streptococcaceae.
AUGAUUGCCCACUUAGUGUUUGAACUUAAUC